UGGGGAAUAUUGCACAAUGGGCGCAAGCCUGAUGCAGCCAUGCCGCGUGUAUGAAGAAGGCCUUCGGGUUGUAAAGUACUUUCAGUCGGGAGGAAGGUGUCAAGGUUAAUAACCUUGGCAAUUGACGUUACCGACAGAAGAAGCACCGGCUAACUCCGUGCCAGCAGCCGCGGUAAUACGGAGGGUGCAAGCGUUAAUCGGAAUUACUGGGCGUAAAGCCCACGCAGGCGGUUGAUUGAGUCAGAUGUGAAAUCCCCGGGCUUAACCCGGGAAUUGCAUCUGAUACUGGUCAGCUAGAGUCUUGUAGAGGGGGGUAGAAUUCCAUGUGUAGCGGUGAAAUGCGUAGAGAUGUGGAGGAAUACCGGUGGCGAAGGCGGCCCCCUGGACAAAGACUGACGCUCAGGUGCGAAAGCGUGGGGAGCAAACAGG
RNAcentral lists this ribosomal RNA (429 nucleotides) under Chloroflexota bacterium. RNAcentral describes it as "Chloroflexi bacterium partial 16S ribosomal RNA". It matches the Rfam family "Bacterial small subunit ribosomal RNA", at positions 355 to 776 of the family's 1533-position model. Lineage: Bacteria; Bacillati; Chloroflexota. The record is from RNAcentral.